UUAUAAAAGAUUAAAAAUAGAACUUAUAAGUUCUGCGCUUUGCGGCGCACAGAACAACCGUAUAUUAAAUAUCCCGGCCGGGCGUCGGAGAAGGGUAAAGUAAGCAAGCAAAGGAUUAUCUAUCUGUGCGACCAAUGAAAAAGGUCUUCAAUUUCAGCCUGGAGCCAUGGGAGGUACCACGCCAAAAGGAAGAUUAUGAUCAUAGUUGGUUAGAUAAAGAGAUCGAACAAGAGGAAGAUGAAAGGAUGAAGAAGAUCCUACUGGGAGUCAAGGAAACCAUGGGAAGCCUGGAUAACGAAACCAUAAAAAAUCGCAUCUUUGAGGAAAGAAAGUGUCUUGUAGAGUGGGAGCAGUACGCCAACGACCUCAAUACUACUAAGGGUUUUGAGGUUGGCGAUUAUCCUUAUCUGUCUCGCAAGCUUUUUGGUAGCUUCAUUACCAGAUAUUACUGCCCACCAGAUACCACAAUUACUGAUUACGAGUUAGACAAAUUGACUGGUUUAGCACGUUCUGCCAUUGAUCAAUAUAAUUCCACACACCAAACAGUGUUUGCCAAUGUCACUGUCGUCAAGGCAAUGAGAUCUUUUUCUUGUGGCCACUGGUACUAUUUGACUUUCCAAGCCAAUGUGCCUCAUUCUCCUCCCCGGAUUUUUCAAGCCAAGGUGUAUGAGGAACCCCAUUGGGUAUCCCCGCCUUUAUUUAUCGAGUUUGUGAGGCCAGCCCACGCUGAUGAUUAAUUACAACAAGAUGCUGAUAAAACAUGCCAUGUGAUGGUGUACACAGUACACACAGCUUAUGUCUUUGUUUCUCUGAUUGGAUGGUUUGAGUUUCUGAUAUGGUUUCAACGCAUAAGAUUGGUUGUUUUUUUAAGAUAUGCCUUGAUUUCCUUCACAUAUGAAUUCUACAUAAUAAUUCAAAUCAUGGUUUAGCCAGGUGAAAAGUUUUUUGCUUUAGAAGUUGCUAAAAUACAUUUACGUGCGGCUGUAUAUUGAAUACAAACCAUGCUUUGUAUGUUGCACUGUUACUAUCUAUAUUGACUAUAGUUCUACAGAUGCUUCGGUUAGUUCAAUUAUUUAUUUAUUUAUUUUUUAAAAUCAGAGCAGUCCUUUUAUCCUAUUUCCUAGCUGUGAAACAGUCCUACAGUUGAUUUUCUAAAUAAUUUGUUUCCCAAAAGCAUGAUGAACCCCUCAACUCCCUGGUUUUUCGCCGUGUUUGGAACAAUUUUACAAGAUGUUACGAGAUUUUAAUAGCCAAAAUUUUGUGUUGCGAGAUUCCCAUAUUCUCAACUGCAGAUCAUGUUAAUGCCAUAUUAUUGAACAUGUUUGUGAAAUGUGGAAAGGACCCGAGUAUCCCAAAAAGCACGUAAAGUUUGCAACUAUAUGCUGUAUUGCUGUUGAGUGUCGAGGGUUAACUGCAUGUUGUUGACUCUUAAAGUAAUCACUAUAAAAAUCCAUAAUCCAAACUAGGUUCUUGUUUGCUUUAUUGUAAUAUAAAAGAGUACUCUGAUGGUUGAUAAUUGUCAUGUUAUACCUUUGAAUUGCAUUCCUCUGUAAGAAUUGUAGAAGAAAUAUACAGGGCAUACAAGUUUGCAUGUUUUCUGAUUAAAUUUUUUUAGUUAGAUGGUUAAGUUUCUAUUUAUUUCCCCAACCAAACGGAGCAUCAAAUCGCAAGUGCAGGAAAUUUAGAUAUCCUUUUGGAUGGUCAGGAGGAAAAUUGCAACCCCCUCCCCCCUCCUUUUUUGUCUUGAUGGUUUUAUGACUGGGCUGCUGUGCAACAUUAAAGGAUUUACACAUGCAAACUAGCACAUAUCAGUAUAGCCUUAUGCUGGAUUCAUAUAUCAGAUGACGUAGCAUGUUAUGCAAUUUGGAUUUAAAAAGACCAAGAUUAUUUUAAAUUUCGAGGACAUUGGUACAGUUUAUGCUUUCUUCUUAGUUUUCUGCGAGUUGGAAUAUCAAAUUUUUUAUUUAGAUACCAAUUUGUGAGGCCAGCCCCCCGCUGAUUAUUGAUUACAACAAGUAAUUGUCAAGAUAAUCACCCAGGAUAGCUGUAAAUCUGUUGUAAUAUGUAAUAGUUGUAUUACUGGUAAAUCUGUCAUAUACAGCAGCUGUAUUAGGCUUAAUUAGAGGCUGAUAUUAGGUGGAUAUUCUGUGAUAUGAUAUGCUGAUAUUAGGGGAUACUGUAGGCUGAUUUAGAGGCAGAUAUGAAGGGAUAUGCUAGCUGAUUUGUAGGUCUGAUUAGCUCUAGCUCUGCUGUACCUAUAAAUACAGGAGCUUGUCUGUAUGACAAACUAUUAGAAUCAAAAGCAUUUUCUGUCAUGCUAUCAGAGCUGGUUUUUUAAACAGAAUUCUCAGCUUGUAUUUCUUGUCUAGAUUCAAAAUCAUAGUGUUUUCUUUUUCAUCUUUCUUGGAAUUCAUCUCCUGGUUCUUGCUUCAUCGUAAAUCAUGUCAUUAGAGCGAUAUGAUAACUUCCUUGUUUGAUUUAAUGGGAAGAACUAUUCUGCUUGGUCUUUCCAAUUUGAAAUUCUUGUCAAGGGAAAAGAAUUAUGGGGCUAUGUUGAUGGAACAAUUGUUGCACCUGACACCAAAGAAAAGGAGCAACUUGCGAAAUGGAAGGUGAAGGAUGCUCAAAUUAUGUCUUGGAUACUGGGGAGUAUGGAACCCUCCAUGAUUCUCAAUCUCAGGCCUUACAAGACUUCUAAAGAUAUGUGGGGUUACUUGAAGAAAGUUUACAACCAAAGCAACGCAGCCCAACGUCUUCAAUUAGAGCUUGAGUUGGGGCAACUUACUCAAGGGAGCAUGACAAAUUAAGAGUUCUAUUCUUCUUUUGAGAAUUUAUGGGGUGAAUAUACAGAUAUUGUGUAUGAGAGUGUGCCUUCUGAAGGACUGACUGCUGUCCAAAGUGUACAUAAGACAAGCAAGCGUGACCAAUUUUUAAUGAAAUUACGGGGAGAUUUUGAACCAAUCAGGUCCAACCUCAUGAACAGAAAUCCAGUUCCAUCACUUGAUACUUGCAUAGGAGAGCUUUUUCGGGAAGAACAACGGCUCGUGACACAAACUUCCAUCGAUCAGAAGGCGCAGGACUCUUCUCCAAUUCCUGUUGCAUACGCUGCCCAAGUAAAGCAUAGAGGUGGAAGAGAUGUGAGUAACUUCCAAUGCUACAUUUGCAAAGGAUUUGGACAUGUUGCUAUUAAUUGCACUAAAAAUUCUGCAAUUAUUGCAAGAUAGCAGGGCACAUCAUCAAAGAUUGCCCAAUCCGGCCUCCGAAGAAAUCUCAAACUGCCUACAAUGUCUCAGUCGGAUCCUCAAAUUCUUCUAAUUUUGGUCAGUCUUCUGUUACCACUUACCCCUGGAAUGAUUCAGCAGAUGAUAGUUAAUGCAUUUUCAACUUUAGGAAUUUCAGGAUCAAGUGUCCGGGAAGAUGAUCGCGAAGAGGCCUAAAGUGGGACGUCUCUUUCCUUUGCUCCCAUCACCGUCUCUAGUGCCAAAUUAUGUUUCUUAUAAUGCCGUUGAAUGUAAUAAUCAAGUGUGGCAUAAAAGAUGAUGGAAUGGAUUGUGGAUGUUUGGAACUUUGCAGAAAUUGGAAAAUGCUAACAUGCUGGCUGGAUUCUGCUACUUUGUUUCUUUUUAAUUUAUGAAAUUAGAAUGUUGUAGUAGACUAAAACACCAACAAAUAAGCCAAAUGAUUUUCGGCUGCUUUCAUUUCCAUUUUGAUUCAGACUUCCUUCGACUUAACUUGUGCCAACUGCCAAGUGUGCUCUGUUAUGUUUAGCUAUUAUUUCCGUGUUUCGGGUUUUUUAUGUUAAAGUAAAUAACUGGAA
This is an RNA transcript of Daucus carota subsp. sativus, 3817 nucleotides long. RefSeq lists it as uncharacterized. The transcript has 5 exons. Lineage: Eukaryota; Viridiplantae; Streptophyta; Magnoliopsida; Apiales; Apiaceae. The record is from RefSeq and is a predicted model, not a curated record.